This 55-nucleotide transfer RNA is filed under the name Muntiacus reevesi (Reeves' muntjac). It matches the Rfam family "tRNA", at positions 10 to 63 of the family's 71-position model. From Rfam's summary of the family: Transfer RNA (tRNA) molecules are approximately 80 nucleotides in length. Their secondary structure includes four short double-helical elements and three loops (D, anti-codon, and T loops). Lineage: Eukaryota; Metazoa; Chordata; Mammalia; Artiodactyla; Cervidae. The record is from Rfam by way of RNAcentral. RNAcentral also lists the same sequence under 6 other names.
ACUCAGUCGGUAAAGAAUCUGCCUGCAAUGCAGAAGACCCGGGUUCAAUUCCUGG